Molecule: ribosomal RNA, 465 nt
Filed under: uncultured bacterium
Lineage: Bacteria
Description: partial 16S ribosomal RNA
Rfam family: Bacterial small subunit ribosomal RNA
Source: RNAcentral
CCUACGGGUGGCAGCAGUGGGGAAUAUUGCGCAAUGGGCGAAAGCCUGACGCAGCGACGCCGCGUGAGGGAUGAAGGUCUUCGGAUCGUAAACCUCUGUCAGCAGGGAAGAACGGUCACUGUGCUAAUCAGCAGUGAAUUGACGGUACCUGCAAAGGAAGCACCGGCUAACUCCGUGCCAGCAGCCGCGGUAAUACGGAGGGUGCGAGCGUUAAUCGGAAUUACUGGGCGUAAAGCGCUCGUAGGCGGUAUGUCAAGUCAAGGGUGAAAUCCCCGCGCUCAAGGUGGGGACGGCCUUUGAAACUGGCAAACUUGAGGUUGUGAGAGGAUGAUGGAAUUCCAGGUGGAGGAGUGAAAUCCGGAGAUAUCUGGAGGAACAUCAGUGGCGAAGGCGACUAUCUGGCACAUAACUGACGCUGAGGAGCGAAAGCGUUGGUAGCAAACAGGAUUAGAUACCCCAGUAGUC